Molecule: ribosomal RNA, 492 nt
Filed under: uncultured bacterium
Lineage: Bacteria
Description: partial 16S ribosomal RNA
Rfam family: Bacterial small subunit ribosomal RNA
Source: RNAcentral
AGUGAACGCUGGCGGUAGGCCUAACACAUGCAAGUCGAACGGCAGCACAGUAAGAGCUUGCUCUUACGGGUGGCGAGUGGCGGACGGGUGAGGAAUACAUCCGAAUCUACUUUUUCGUGGGGGAUAACGUAGGGAAACUUACGCUAAUACCGCAUACGACCUACGGGUGAAAGCAGGGGAUCUUCGGACCUUGCGCGAUUGGAUGAGCCGAUGUCGGAUUAGCUAGUUGGCGGGGUAAAGGCCCACCAAGGCGACGAUCCGUAGCUGGUCUGAGAGGAUGAUCAGCCACACUGGAACUGAGACACGGUCCAGACUCCUACGGGAGGCAGCAGUGGGGAAUAUUGGACAAUGGGCGCAAGCCUGAUCCAGCCAUACCGCGUGGGUGAAGAAGGCCUUCGGGUUGUAAAGCCCUUUUGUUGGGAAAGAAAAGCAGCAGGUUAAUACCCCGCUGUUCUGACGGUACCCAAAGAAUAAGCACCGGCUAACUUCGUG